This 72-nucleotide transfer RNA is filed under the name Bos taurus (domestic cattle). It matches the Rfam family "tRNA". From Rfam's summary of the family: Transfer RNA (tRNA) molecules are approximately 80 nucleotides in length. Their secondary structure includes four short double-helical elements and three loops (D, anti-codon, and T loops). Further hydrogen bonds mediate the characteristic L-shaped molecular structure. tRNAs have two regions of fundamental functional importance: the anti-codon, which is responsible for specific mRNA codon recognition, and the 3' end, to which the tRNAs corresponding amino acid is attached (by aminoacyl-tRNA synthetases). tRNAs cope with the degeneracy of the genetic code in two manners: having more than one tRNA (with a specific anti-codon) for a particular amino acid; and 'wobble' base-pairing, i.e. permitting non-standard base-pairing at the 3rd anti-codon position. Lineage: Eukaryota; Metazoa; Chordata; Mammalia; Artiodactyla; Bovidae. RNAcentral also lists the same sequence under 1 other name. The record is from Rfam by way of RNAcentral.
UCCCUGAUAGCUCAGUUGGUAAAGAAUCCACCUGCAAUGCAGGAGACCCUGGUUCGAUUCCAGGUUGGGAAG